Molecule: long non-coding RNA, 4505 nt
Filed under: Musa acuminata (dwarf banana)
Lineage: Eukaryota; Viridiplantae; Streptophyta; Magnoliopsida; Zingiberales; Musaceae
Description: long non-coding RNA (MACU_LNC006769)
Source: RNAcentral
CCUAUGGGAAGCUUGCCAUUUUCGUGUUUGGAGCUUGGGCAGGCGCCGACCAUGGCGGUGUGCUUGCAGGCCUUGCGGCCUGCGGCCUCAUGAUGAUUGUCGUCGCCACUGCCUCAGAUCUCAUGCAGAACUUCAAGACCGGAUACCUAACACUAGCUUCUCCCAGGUCGAUGUUCGCGAGCCACGUCAUCGGCACUGCCAUGGGUUGCGUGAUCGCUCCCUGUGUUUUCUGGCUUUUCUACAAGGCCUUCGAUGACAUCGGCAUUUCCGGCAGUCAAUACCCAGCACCUAAUGCUCCCAUCUACCGCGACAUGGCGAUCCUCGGAAUUGAUGGCUUCUCGUCACUUCCAAAGCACUGCCUCUCUCUCUUCUACUUGUUCUUCGCGCUCGCUAUCGCCAUCAACUUGGCGAAGGACGUGUCGCCCAACAGGAUAGCAAGGUUUAUCCCAAUCCCAAUGGCGAUGGCUAUACCUUUCUACAUCGGAGCAUCCUUCGCCAUCGACAUGUGCAUCGGAAGCGUGAUACUGUACGUGUGGACAAAGAUGAACAAGGGCAAGGCGUCUGCGUUUGGUCCUGCCGUGGCCUCCGGUUUGAUCUGCGGCGAUGGGAUGUGGGGUGUCCCUCAAGGAGUGCUUGCUCUGGCUCAGGUGAAUCCGCCAAUGUGCAUGAAGUUUGUCCAUGGAGAAUGAAUGGCCAAGAAGAUGUUCGCAUCUAUCACCUUAUCCUACUUUCCUCCUCGGUGGCAAACGAGAACGAAACAGGACACACAGUGGAUUUCCAUCCCAUCCAUAUAUCCACUGAAUUGGCCUGUGUUCAUCAGUCUCAUGUAUAUAUUAUAUAUCAGAUAAGGUUUUGAACUUUCAGUAUUUGAUAUACAGGUGUGACAUAUCACUAUUAGAUGAAUAUAAAUAUUUACCUCUUAUUUUUCUGAUGAGAAAGAAUAAUACAAAUCAAGGAAUGAAAUAUCAUAUCGUAUCGACGUUUCGAUAAUAUAUCAUUACAUAUAUCGUACAAUACGAUAUAAUAUAUCGAACGAUACGUAUCGUUUGAUACGGACGAUAUUAUUUGAAAUUAUAUAAAUAACAUGUCUACUGGCUUCAGAAAUAAUAAAUAAUGGUGACAAACACAUAUACAGGAUAUCCUGACAAAACAAAGUUCAUCAUCCUCUGCAUUGGAAUCAUCCAUCUAUUUUAGCCGAUCAAACUCCUAUAAUCUUAACUUUAGGCUUGCGGAUUUUUGUGCCCAGCGACCUGUUCUUCACGGCACCGGUCUAUUCAUUCGAUGUAUGCCUUUGAAUGACUGAUGCUCCUCACAUUUUGUCGUCAAUCAAAUCAGAAGACUCGCUUCAAGUCAGUCUACCUUUUGUCUUGAUACCAUCACGAAUGUAGAUUGAUAGAUCAUGUCUCAUCUACCAAGCAAGGGUAUAGGAUGUUCUGCCUUGGAAUCCAUGGAUUCAUCUUCAGAUAAAGAUUCUUGCUGAACCGACACUUCAUCUUCAUCGUUCCCACGCCGGAGAAGUUCUUGGUCAUGUGAACUGGUCGCUUCAGUUCCACACUCAGAUCCGUCAGCCGUCAGCAGAAGACCUUUCCUCGAUUCCUUCGUGCGAGGCAUCUCCAAUCUUUCAUUCAGAAAACAUACUUUGGGAUGUGAACUGUGAUCGUCAAGUUAAUAUGCAACAAAUGAGAUUAAUAGUGGGGAGUGGACCGAUGGGGACAGCCAAUGGAAAUGGCCAUCGAUUUGCGAGUGGAAUAUGAGGAAUCCUCAGUCCAUGAAAGAAGCAUUAUCGUUUUUCCAAGGCUUUUGGAGGCCAGUCACUCUCAGGGCAGCUCAGCCAGUCGCAUAGCUCCGGUAUUGCUUGCACUCUUCCGUUUCCUCAUCCGGUGUGAACAACAGCUCGUGAUUCCUUCCAAAGCAUGGCUUUGGAAGUAGAUCCGAUCACUGUUCUUUGAAAAUGAACUCAAAUCAAUAAAAAAUUAGAACUGAACAAGAUCAACGAUUCCAUAGUUCUUAAAGGAAUCCAUGAUUGAUCCAACGGCAUCUCGUCAUGUUGGAUGCAGAUAUGAAACUGUCGAAAGGUGGAAGAGGAAGAACUUGUGGGCAGGAACGAGAUCCAAGCCAGAUUCCAAGGAGAUGGUGCUGAUGCGUUGACCGUCGUGAGUAGUCUUCGUCUCUUCUUCCCUCGAUUCUCCGUCACUUUCAUGGUUCACUUACCAGUUGUUCUUGAAGCCACCACCACCGUCUAGAUAUAGUCUAUCGCGCACAGCACAGCAAGGGGAACGGCAUGGAGAACGAAGAGAACGGGGUGGAGGGGCGGCCCGCGAUGGAGAACCCAAAGAAGGAAGAGGAGGAGGAGGGGAAGCGGGGAGAGGCGGUGUCGGUGGAGCGGACGUUCGAGCGGCAGCGGGUGCCGCCGUGGCGGGAGCAACUGACGGCGCGGGCGCUGGCGGUGAGCUUCCUGCUCUCGGUCAUGUUCAGCGUGAUCGUGAUGAAGCUGAACCUGACCACCGGCAUCAUCCCCUCCCUCAACGUCGCCGCCGGCCUCCUCGGCUUCUUCUUCGUCAAGGUCUGGACCAAGGCCCUGGAGCACGCCGGCCUCCUCCGCACCCCCUUCACCCGCCAGGAGAACACCGUCAUCCAGACCUCCGUCGUCGCCGCCUACGGCCUCGCCUUCAGCGGUCAGCUCCCUUCUCUUAACCUGUUAUCCUGUUGAUGUUCGGAGACAAACAGGUUAGCGAAGUCAACAACAAUCAAACCGAAUCAAUGGAAUCUGAUUCCCUGAAUCAAACCAUGAACAUAAAUCUCCAUGCUUCUUCAUAUGAUCUUCAUGUUCCUCUGCUACCUUUCUAGACUUCGAUGCUUGAGUUGCAUACAGAGGACCAUCAUUGCGAUACGCAUCUGAAGCUUUUUGCUCGUCUUAUAUGAACAGGUGGUUUUGGAAGUUACCUUUUUGGGAUGAGCUCAAAGAUCGCCAACCAGACAACAGAAGCAAAUGAUUCACAGAACAUAAAGGACCCAAAAUUAGGGUGGAUGAUCGGAUUCAUGUUUGUUGUUAGCUUUCUUGGACUGUUUUCUCUUGUGCCACUCAGAGAGGUGAGUCCAAAUCCAGCAAUAAACUGUGUUUAACGAGCUCUUCCAUGCUGUUUGUAAUGCCGCUGCUUGAAUCUUGUCGUAGAUAAUGAUCAUCGACUACAAGCUGAUCUAUCCAAGUGGCACCGCAACUGCGUACCUCAUCAAUGGCUUCCAUACUCCUCAGGGUGAAAAGCUGGCCAAGUAACCAUCUCGAGAACAUCUAAAUCUUCCCAAUUCCUCUGCUGAACACACAACUGAUUGAUCCUUUGAUUCUUAGGAAACAGGUGCGGACAAUGGGCAAGUUCUUUGUCUACAGCUUCCUGUGGGGAUUCUUCCAGUGGUUCUACACGGCUGGUGAUGACUGCGGAUUCGAAGCUUUUCCUACCUUCGGCCUCAAAGCUUAUGCGAACAAGUAACAUCCUGUGCCACUGCUCAAGUGCUUGAGAUAACUGGAUGCAAUGCGUGACUGCGUUGUGUACUCGAUGAAUUCUCUCAGGUUUUUCUUCGAUUUCUCUGCUACUUACGUUGGAGUUGGAAUGAUCUGCCCGUAUAUAGUGAACGUAUCUCUGCUUCUGGGAGCGAUCCUUUCAUGGGGACUCAUGUGGCCUCUCAUAAACAACCAGAAGGGCCACUGGUAUUCUGCGGAUAUCCCACCGAGCAGCCUUCAUAGCUUGCAAGGUUACAGGGUAAGGUAUCAAUUGGGUGCCACCAAUCUUCUACCGUCUCUCCUGUUCAUCGUUGCCUCCAUCGAUGCAGGUGUUCUUAGCCGUCGCCUUGAUUCUUGGCGAUGGCCUCUACAACAUCCUCAAGGUCCUGCAUCGAACUAUAUACUCGUUUGUUUCCGCUGCGCGAAAACGCCCAACGAGCUCUCUUCCCAUCUCGGACGGUGGCCGUGCUGUAACGAGUCCGGCAGCUUCGUUCGACGACAAGAGGCGAACCGAGAUGUUCGUUAAAGAUCAGAUCCCGAAGUGGGUGGCAUAUGUAGGCUACAGCGCCAUUGCCAUCGUCUCCAUAGUUACGAUUCCUCACCUCUUUCCUCCGCUCAAGUGGUACCAUAUCUUGGUCGCCUAUGUGUUCGCCCCAUUGCUGGCUUUCUGCAACGCCUAUGGCUGCGGCCUCACCGAUUGGAAUCUGGCGUCCACCUACGGCAAGCUUGCCAUAUUCGUGUUUGGAGCUUGGGCAGGAGCUCACCAUGGCGGCGUGCUUGCAGGCCUUGCGGCCUGCGGCGUCAUGAUGAGCAUCGUUGCCACUGCCUCAGAUCUCAUGCAGGACUUCAAGACCGGAUACCUGACACUAGCUUCUCCCAGGUCAAUGUUCGUGAGCCAAGUCGUCGGCACCGCCAUGGGCUGUGUGAUCGCGCCGUGCGUUUUCUGGCUCUUCUACAAGGCGUUCGACGACAUCGGCAUCUCCGGCAGUCAAUACCCAGCGCCUUACGC